This 772-nucleotide ribosomal RNA is filed under the name uncultured bacterium. RNAcentral's name for it is "bacterial SSU rRNA". It matches the Rfam family "Bacterial small subunit ribosomal RNA", at positions 93 to 861 of the family's 1533-position model. The record is from RNAcentral.
GACCGGCUCACGGGUGAGUAACACGUAUGCAACCUGCCCGCCACAGGGGGAUAAGCGGAAGAAAUUCCGUCUAAUACCGCGUGACGCGGCGCCGGGGCAUCCCGGUGCCGCCAAAGGGAUUACCGGUGGCGGAUGGGCAUGCGGCGCAUUAGCUAGUCGGCGGGGUAACGGCCCACCGAGGCGACGAUGCGUAGGGGUUCUGAGAGGAAGGUCCCCCACACUGGUACUGAGACACGGACCAGACUCCUACGGGAGGCAGCAGUGAGGAAUAUUGGUCAAUGGGCGGGAGCCUGAACCAGCCAAGUCGCGUGAGGGAUGACGGUCCUACGGAUUGUAAACCUCUUUUGCCGGGGAGCAAGCGUGCGUUCGUGAACGCGCGUCGAGAGUACCCGGAGAAAAAGCAUCGGCUAACUCCGUGCCAGCAGCCGCGGUAAUACGGAGGAUGCGAGCGUUAUCCGGAUUUAUUGGGUUUAAAGGGUGCGUAGGCGGGAUGCCAAGUCAGCGGUAAAAAUGCGGUGCUCAACGCCGUCGAGCCGUUGAAACUGGCGUUCUUGAGUGGGCGAGAAGUAUGCGGAAUGCGUGGUGUAGCGGUGAAAUGCAUAGAUAUCACGCAGAACUCCGAUUGCGAAGGCAGCAUACCGGCGCCCUACUGACGCUGAGGCACGAAAGCGUGGGUAUCGAACAGGAUUAGAUACCCUGGUAGUCCACGCAGUAAACGAUGAAUGCUAACUGUCCGGCGCGAAUGAGCGCUGGGCGGUACAGCGAAAGCGUA